GGGCCCGCACAAGCAGUGGAGCAUGUGGUUUAAUUCGAUGCAACGCGAAGAACCUUACCAGGCCUUGACAUCCUCGGAACUUUCUAGAGAUAGAUUGGUGCCUUCGGGAACCGAGUGACAGGUGCUGCAUGGCUGUCGUCAGCUCGUGUCGUGAGAUGUUGGGUUAAGUCCCGUAACGAGCGCAACCCUUGUCCUUAGUUGCCAGCACAUUAUGGUGGGAACUAUAAGGGGACUGCCGGUGAUAAACCGGAGGAAGGUGAGGACGACGUCAAGUCAUCAUGGCCCUUACGGCCUGGGCUACACACGUGCUACAAUGGCUAGGACAGACGGCCGCAAACCCGCGAGGGGAGCC
RNAcentral lists this ribosomal RNA (352 nucleotides) under uncultured bacterium. RNAcentral describes it as "bacterial SSU rRNA". It matches the Rfam family "Bacterial small subunit ribosomal RNA", at positions 917 to 1269 of the family's 1533-position model. The record is from RNAcentral.